Molecule: ribosomal RNA, 253 nt
Filed under: uncultured bacterium
Lineage: Bacteria
Description: partial 16S ribosomal RNA
Rfam family: Bacterial small subunit ribosomal RNA
Source: RNAcentral
GACGGAGGGUGCUAGCGUUGUUCGGAAUUACUGGGCGUAAAGGGCGCGUAGGCGGCCUGGUCAGUCGGAUGUGAAAGCCCGGGGCUCAACCCCGGAACGGCAUCCGAGACGGCCAGGCUGGAGACCGGGAGAGGAGGGUGGAAUAGCCAGUGUAGAGGUGAAAUUCGUAGAUAUUGGCUGGAACACCGGUGGCGAAAGCGGCUCUCUGGCCCGGGUCUGACGCUGAGGCGCGAAAGCGUGGGGAGCAAACAGG